Molecule: ribosomal RNA, 469 nt
Filed under: uncultured bacterium
Lineage: Bacteria
Description: bacterial SSU rRNA
Rfam family: Bacterial small subunit ribosomal RNA
Source: RNAcentral
AUGGCUCAGGAUGACGCCGGCGGCGUGCCUAAUACAUGCAAGUCGAGCGGAGAAUUUAGCAAUAGAUUCUUAGCGGCGAACGGGUGAGUAACGCGUUGGUGACCUGCCUCGAAGUUUGGGAUAACAGUUCGAAAGGACUGCUAAUACCGGAUGUGAUCGCGGAGAUUAGAGGCUCUGUGAUUAAAGGAGAAAUUCGCUUCGAGAGGGGCCUGCGUCCCAUCAGCUAGUUGGUAAGGUAAAGGCUUACCAAGGCGAUGACGGGUAGGGGACCUGAGAGGGUGGCCCCCCACAAUGGAACUGAAACACGGUCCAUACACCUACGGGUGGCAGCAGUAGGGAAUAUUGCAUAAUGGGCGAAAGCCUGAUGCAGCAACGCCGCGUGUGCGAUGAAGGCCUUCGGGUCGUAAAGCACUUUUGGAGGGGAUGAGGAAGGACAGUACCCUUCGAAUAAGCUUCGGCUAACUACGUG